CUUUGUUGUCCGUCCAUUUGUCCGUCUGUCUGUCAAGACCCUUUAUCUCAGGAACGCGUGGAGGUAUCAAGUUGAAAUUAAUACCAUAUACUCAGGUCUAUAGUCCCUUGGAGCUGUGAAAAAAGCUAAGUUGACGUAAAAAAAAGAUAUGGGCAUUUAUGCCUCAAAAAC
Long non-coding RNA from Cydia splendana, 171 nucleotides. RefSeq lists it as uncharacterized. The transcript has 3 exons. NCBI's taxonomy places the organism in Eukaryota, Metazoa, Arthropoda, Insecta, Lepidoptera, Tortricidae. The record is from RefSeq and is a predicted model, not a curated record.